Long non-coding RNA from Astyanax mexicanus (Mexican tetra), 634 nucleotides. RefSeq lists it as uncharacterized. The record is from RefSeq and is a predicted model, not a curated record. The transcript is spliced from 2 exons. NCBI's taxonomy places the organism in Eukaryota, Metazoa, Chordata, Actinopteri, Characiformes, Acestrorhamphidae.
UAUGGUGUGAGUUUCAGAAUGAAAAAAUAAGGAUUUUGUAAUGUAUCAUAACCUCAUCAACGUGACAGAUGAGGAAUAGUACCAGCAAAGUGUAAGAGUGCUUUUCAGUGUGAGUUUGCAAGAGAGUAUGUGAGAGUGUGUGUGUGUGGGUGAGGGCCUGUCUGCCCCUCUCUCGCCCCCGGUCUCUCCUUCCCUCUGCAAACUGAGAUUAACUGAAUGCCUGUAAAAAUGAAUAGACUAAGAGACGCACAUAUUAUUAGGCAGUAAUGGCUUUGUUUGCAAACAUAGACUAAUAUAAACAUUCAUUAUUAAUUUACGUACUAUUAAUUGUAGCUUACUGAAGACCCUAACGACUUUUCAAGGAAAAUAACACUUUCACUUGUAAAACAUAUUGAGCAAGAGCUGAAACAUUAAAUCAUAUUCAAUCUCAGUAUAGUCAUAAUUCUUAUAUAAUCACCCUAACAAUAUAAAUUUGAAGCUCAUAAGCAUGUUUCCAUAAUUAUUAGCAUCCAUUUUUAAUACAUUUUUAUUGAUAAGUAAUACUGAACACUUCACUAGUAUAAUUAUCAGUGACACUCACUGUUCUGUCCCUUUAGAGGUAGAUCAGAGCUUAUUUUUCAACACUCUUCGUUGA